GACGAACGCUGGCGGCGUGCCUAAUACAUGCAAGUCGAACGCACUCUCGUUUAGAUUGAAGGAGCUUGCUCCUGAUUGAUAAACAUUUGAGUGAGUGGCGGACGGGUGAGUAACACGUGGGUAACCUGCCCUAAAGUGGGGGAUAACAUUUGGAAACAGAUGCUAAUACCGCAUAAAACCUAAACACCGCAUGGUGUAGGGUUGAAAGAUGGUUUCGGCUAUCACUUUAGGAUGGACCCCGCGGUGCAUUAGUUAGUUGGUGAGGUAAAGGCUCACCAAGACCGUGAUGCAUAGCCGACCUGAGAGGGUAAUCGGCCACACUGGGACUGAGACACGGCCCAGACUCCUACGGGAGGCAGCAGUAGGGAAUCUU
This 373-nucleotide ribosomal RNA is filed under the name uncultured bacterium. RNAcentral's name for it is "bacterial SSU rRNA". It matches the Rfam family "Bacterial small subunit ribosomal RNA", at positions 28 to 365 of the family's 1533-position model. The record is from RNAcentral.